Molecule: microRNA precursor, 96 nt
Filed under: Nicotiana sylvestris (wood tobacco)
Lineage: Eukaryota; Viridiplantae; Streptophyta; Magnoliopsida; Solanales; Solanaceae
Description: MIR6152 microRNA precursor family
Rfam family: MIR6152 microRNA precursor family
Source: Rfam by way of RNAcentral
UGGACAGAUUAUUGUAAUCGACUGUAUUCACGACGUGAAACAGGGGAUUACAUUGUUUUUAAACGGAAAGUGAAUCAAUUAACAUAAUAGACUCCU